Long non-coding RNA from Gambusia affinis (western mosquitofish), 1539 nucleotides. RefSeq lists it as uncharacterized. NCBI's taxonomy places the organism in Eukaryota, Metazoa, Chordata, Actinopteri, Cyprinodontiformes, Poeciliidae. The transcript is spliced from 8 exons. The record is from RefSeq and is a predicted model, not a curated record.
AAACGAUGUAAACCUAAAACGUUAAAGUAAAACUGAACAUCGCGUUAAUAAGGAGAGCCGCUUCGGUUGUGCGGUUUGAUUGACAGCUGUGAUUUUCAAUCACAAACUAGGAUGGCUAAGUUUAGUUGAGAGAGCACAUCGAUUUUUUUUGUUGUUGUUGUUGCUAAAUUUCGUAACUUUAGAGGUGUGGUGCAGAAAUUGCGGCUCUGUCAGCGUGCGUCAUAAAAAAACCCGAGAUGAAAGCAAAUAGGAUCAGUCUGUGGAGAGCCAGAGGAGAGGUGUUUGUGCUUCUGGCUUCCAUAAAGAAGAGAGCAGCAAAUGCAAGCGUCUAAAUAUAAGUGUGUUUAAAAGGCCUGCCUAAGUUCCUGUUGCCCUCAACUGACCUUGAUGACAGUCGUUGCUUUACUCAUCGAAUCAGCGAGGAAUUGCUCCGCUGGAGAUACCGGAGCUGGAGCAGCAUCCAUGGACUGAAAUGUGAUCCUGAAUGAAGCGGAAGGAAAAAAAUGGUGAAAGUUGCUGUGGGGGAAAAGCUUCAGUCCAGCUUGGUGAUGAGGUGAUAGGCUUGAUCCGGAGAGAGAGGUUUACAGCUGGACGGAGCUGUGUUUGACGGCCGUGGAGACAGACGAAGGAUCCGGAGAAGCUUAUGGAAGUCAUGUUCUGCCUGCCUGGUCUUCAACCUUUGAUUCGCCCACUUCCUGGAUCACAAGACUCUCCACCUCUGGACUCUGGCUCUCGUACUCCACCACCAAGAUCCCUUGUUAACUAGAGCCGUCCCUCAACUUCGUCAUUCCACCCCAAGCCAUGCGACACUCAAGAGGAGCGUGACAGAUGUGAUGGUCAGAGAGAAGGAAAGCGGGGGUGGAGUCCCGUCAGACCGUCACUUCCCGAAACCACAAAAAAGAAAAACCUCGUAAAAGCGCAUGUGGGUUCUCUUGUCAGAUCAAAACGACACCAAGCUCUUGACCUCUUUGCCUGGAAUCGGCUCGGGGAAGUUGAGUUGGACUGCUGGUAUACCUGUGGACAUCCCCGUCAGAUCCUGUCCAAACAAUCGUAUAGUCAGAAAGAAGAAAACCUGUUGAAUACCAAACACCGGAGGAGCAAGACCGGGUCGACGAAGCCACUGGAACACGGACCAGGAAGGAUUUUAUUUUUUUAUUUUUUUUGGAAAGACACGAGGAAUAAUUUGAGAAGAACAAGAGCACUAGCAAAUUUUCUGCCAGAGGGUAAAGGGCUGCGACCUUUUGGAUGUUGUCUGCAGAAGUUCAACUUAAAUAAUACAAAAAAAAAACUUUAGUAAAUCAAUACAAGCCUGCUGAGAAUACAUGAGGAAAAUUGACACGAUCCUGUACAGAGCAGUUUUUUAAGAGUUCCUGAAAUUCAUGGUGAUGCAUCUACAAUGAAUCUUAACUGUACUUUUGGAUUUUUCUGAUUAAAGGAGUUCUCAAAUGUUUCAAAUUAUUACUCAACUUCUAUUAAUUAUAAAUUGAUUUUAAAAAUGCACACAAAUUUCAAUUUAUAUGGUCAAUUGAAGCGCAACUA